AUUGAACGCUGGCGGCAUGCCUUACACAUGCAAGUCGAACGGCAGCGGGCCUUCGGGUGCCGGCGAGUGGCGAACGGGUGAGUAAUGCAUCGGAACGUGCCAUUGAGUGGGGGGAUAACGUAGCGAAAGUUGCGCUAAUACCGCAUAUUCUGUGAGCAGGAAAGCAGGGGACCGCAAGGCCUUGCGCUCUUUGAGCGGCCGAUGUCAGAUUAGCUAGUUGGUGAGGUAACGGCUUACCAAGGCGACGAUCUGUAGCGGGUCUGAGAGGAUGAUCCGCCACACUGGAACUGAGACACGGUCCAGACUCCUACGGGAGGCAGCAGU
This 324-nucleotide ribosomal RNA is filed under the name uncultured bacterium. RNAcentral describes it as "bacterial SSU rRNA". It matches the Rfam family "Bacterial small subunit ribosomal RNA", at positions 30 to 355 of the family's 1533-position model. The record is from RNAcentral.